This 72-nucleotide transfer RNA is filed under the name Ceratocystis platani. It matches the Rfam family "tRNA". From Rfam's summary of the family: Transfer RNA (tRNA) molecules are approximately 80 nucleotides in length. Their secondary structure includes four short double-helical elements and three loops (D, anti-codon, and T loops). The record is from Rfam by way of RNAcentral. Lineage: Eukaryota; Fungi; Ascomycota; Sordariomycetes; Microascales; Ceratocystidaceae.
UGGGGUAUAGCCAAGUGGUAAGGCAACGGUUUUUGGAUCCGUCAUGCGUUGGUUCGAAUCCAACUACCCCAG